UAAUAGCGUAUAUUAAAGUUGUUGCGGUUAAAAGCUCGUAGUUGGAUUUCGGGACCUGUGCAUUCGGUCCGGCGUGAGCCGCGAACUGAAGGCUGGGCCCUUCUGUCUGGAGCCCGGUCUCUUCCUCUUAACUGAGGGGGAGUCUGGUAUCUAGGACUUUUACUUUGAACAAAUUAGAGUGUUUUAAAGCAGGCAAUCGCCUGAAUACAUUAGCAUGGAAUAACCGAAUAGGACUUUGGUUCUAUUUUGUUGGUUUUAAGGACCAAAGUAAUGAUUAAUAGGAUAGUUGGGGGCAUAAUAUUUAAUUGUCAGAGGUGAAAUUCUUAGAUUUAUGAAAGAUUAACUUCUGCGAAAGCAUUUGCCAAGGAUGUUUUCAUUAAUCAAGAACGAAAGUUAGGGGAUCGAAGAUGAUCAGAUACCA
Molecule: ribosomal RNA, 421 nt
Filed under: uncultured eukaryote
Lineage: Eukaryota
Description: bacterial SSU rRNA
Rfam family: Eukaryotic small subunit ribosomal RNA
Source: RNAcentral